RNAcentral lists this long non-coding RNA (1145 nucleotides) under Anas platyrhynchos platyrhynchos (common mallard). Its description in RNAcentral is "lncRNA (ENSAPLG00000022544.1)". The record is from RNAcentral. Lineage: Eukaryota; Metazoa; Chordata; Aves; Anseriformes; Anatidae.
UGUGACCCCCCACCCCAUAACUCUGUCUCUCCUUCCCCAUAGAGACCCCCCCGGCUGUGCUGGCCCCUGUCCUGCCCAGCGAGCAGCUGAGUGAGGUGGGGGGAGCCACUGGGGGCAAACCCUGCCUGGCCCGCAGAGUGCCCGCCCGCGUCCCCUUGGCCAGGGGCACCACAGGAGCUGCCCGGGGAGCACAGGGGCCCCCACAAACCGUGGGGGGGGGGGCAGGCUGCACCACCAGGUUCCCUCCUUACCCAGGAGAGCACAUCCCUAUUCCCAGACCUCCCCUCGAAUGAAAGCAGCACCCCAGGUACACCCCCUGUUCCCCCCCUGCCCCCACACUGCCCUGGGGGGGCCGUGCCGAGGCUCAGGACCCCCCCUGCCUGCAGGCGCUGAGCCCCUCAGAGCAUCUGGACCAUCCAACGUCGGCUUGGCUCGCCGUGUGCCCCUCACAAAGGCCAUGGUUUGUAUUGGGGGGGGGGGUGUUAAGGGGCAGGCACCAGUGUUGAGCCCCACGCCCCAAAAUCCCCCCCCUCACCGUCUCGCCCUGCAGCGCCUCGAGGUGUCCAAAGAGCGCUUCUUCCGCACGCCGCGCCUCACCCCCCGCAGCUGCGUGUCGGGCACCCACCAGGUGGGUGACAAGCCAGGGGGGUGGGGGUCUAAGCCUGCCCCUCCUCCCUCCCCUGCUGAUGGCAGCGUCACCCCGCAGCGCCCCCUGAAGUGGAGAUUGGCCCUGACCCCCCAGCGUGGCCCCAGCACCGAUGCUGCUGACAGCAAGGAGGAGGCCCCACCCUGGGAGAACAUCGUGGUGCAGCUCUUCAGGGAGGACGAGGGCCAGCAGGACCCCGAGGGGCCAGUGCAGGCUCUGCCCAGCACCUCGCCAGGCUCCAGCACAGCUCAGCGUGUGCCCCUGCUGCUGCAGCUGCUGUGGCAGGACUUGCAGGACCUUCCCGGCGUGAUAGAGGUGCUCAGGAACCUUUGGGGCUGCGUGGCCCAGCACGGCCUGGUCCCCCUGUCCCCCCACCAGGGCCCCUGCAAGCACCCGGGGCAGCUGUGACCACGUCCACCCCCCCGGGGCUGGGGGCUACCCCCAUGGGCACCGCCACACUGCUAAUAAACUAUUUUGUGCUGCACGUUGCUGUGGGGUC